CAGAACCCAAGGAAGCCCUGCCUUCUGAUAGCCACACUCAAUGCAAGGCUGCGUAUUUCACCCUGGAGGGAGUGCUGGUUUGCCACAAAACUCCAUCGUAACUGAAAGAGGAAAUCUUCUACAAAUUCCAGAGACCUUCUUGGAGGAUGAGAAGCAGCCACUAGUUGACAGGAGGGGAAGUGAGGCAUGUAGUCUUCAAGGGAGCAGACCACCGUGGGAGUUAUAAAAUAUCAGCGACGCCUCUGGGUGGGUUCGAACCGCCAACCUUUUAGUUAACAGCCAAACGCGCUAGCCGAUUGCGCCACAGAGACAUGGCUGAGCUCCUGAUUUCGUUCUAAAAGAGGGUAAGCUGUCACUAAACGCUAGCUAGCACCAUCCGCCUUUUGCAAAAUGAUUGGGUAAUCUCCAAAGCCUGACCAACAUGGUGAAAACCUGCCUCCACUAAAAACACAAAAUUAGCUGGGGGUGGUGGUGCAUGCCUGUAAUCCCAGCUACUUAGGAGGCUGAGGCAGGAGAAUUGCUUGAACCUGAGAGGCGGAGGUUGCAAUGAGCUGAGAUCGCACCCUUGCACUCCAGCCUGGGCAACAACAGCAAAAACUCCACCUCAAAAAAAAAAAAAAAAGAAAAGAAAAGAAAAUGAGCUAAGGAGCUAGGCUUCCUUAUUUCACAACCUUGGCUCUGUCUCCUAUGAAACCAGGGCAACUAUUUAACCCCUCCAUGUCUGAGUUUCCUCAUGUAUAAAUGAAGGGAGCAAUAGUACCUAGCUUAUAAGGCCAUUAUAAGGAUUUUAAAAGUUAAUCUAAAGUGCUUAGGACAGUGUAUGGCAUAGAGCAAGCACUCAGUAAAUCCAUUCAUUCAAUAAAUGUUUAUUGAAUAUAGGUGUGGCUGCUGUUUUGGCUGAUGAGUAUACUAAAGUCAGUGAAACAGACGAAAUCUGUGGAGCUUUCUUCCUUGGGGGAGGAGGCCAACAACAACAACGAAUACACACAGAGGAAGAGCAAUGGAAUGAAUUGUGUUCCCUCCCCUCCCAAAUUCAUAUGUUGAAGCCCUAACUGCCAACGUGAUGGUAUCUGGAGAUGGGGCAUUUGGGAAAUAAUUAGAUUUAGAAGAGAUCAUGAAGGUGGGAGACUCGUGAUGGGAUUAGUGCCCUUUUAAGAAGAGAAAGAGUCAGGUGCAGUGGCUCUUGCCUGUAAUCUCAGCACUUU
This 1205-nucleotide long non-coding RNA is filed under the name Homo sapiens (human). RNAcentral describes it as "HSALNT0295288". The record is from RNAcentral. Lineage: Eukaryota; Metazoa; Chordata; Mammalia; Primates; Hominidae.